GGGGGGAGGCCGGAUCCUGGGCUGUGUCCCGGGCGCCCUGUGCUCCGGGGCCUGCGCUGUUGGAUUCUCGCUCCGGCCGCACAGCAGCCU
This 90-nucleotide microRNA precursor is filed under the name Canis lupus familiaris (dog). Its description in RNAcentral is "mir-8799 microRNA precursor family". It matches the Rfam family "mir-8799 microRNA precursor family". Lineage: Eukaryota; Metazoa; Chordata; Mammalia; Carnivora; Canidae. The record is from Rfam by way of RNAcentral. RNAcentral also lists the same sequence under 1 other name.